UUUCCGUAGGUGAACCUGCGGAAGGAUCAUUAAUGAGUUGUCAUGGGGUUCGAUGCUGGCAGCCAAUUUUUGGAUGCAUGUGCUUGCCUAACAAUCAUCUUCCAAACACCUGUGCACAUUUUUGAGGGAGUCUUGAGUUGGUUGCCGCUCUUGGGUGAUUUUCUCACAUUCCCUUAAAUCAUUAUACGCUAUUAACAAUGUUGAACGUGCUCUGUGCCGCAAGGCUAUUAAUAUAAUACAACUUUUAACAACGGAUCUCUAGGCUCUC
RNAcentral lists this unclassified non-coding RNA (268 nucleotides) under plant metagenome. RNAcentral describes it as "partial contains small subunit ribosomal RNA, internal transcribed spacer 1, and 5.8S ribosomal RNA". The record is from RNAcentral.